UAGGGAAUCUUCCACAAUGGACGCAAGUCUGAUGGAGCAACGCCGCGUGAGUGAAGAAGGGUUUCGGCUCGUAAAGCUCUGUUGUUGGUGAAGAAGGACAGGGGUAGUAACUGACCUUUAUUUGACGGUAAUCAACCAGAAAGUCACGGCUAACUACGUGCCAGCAGCCGCGGUAAUACGUAGGUGGCAAGCGUUGUCCGGAUUUAUUGGGCGUAAAGCGAGCGCAGGCGGAAGAAUAAGUCUGAUGUGAAAGCCCUCGGCUUAACCGAGGAACUGCAUCGGAAACUGUUUUUCUUGAGUGCAGAAGAGGAGAGUGGAACUCCAUGUGUAGCGGUGGAAUGCGUAGAUAUAUGGAAGAACACCGGUGGCGAAGGCGGCUCUCUGGUCUGUUACUGACGCUGAGGCUCGAAAGCAUGGGUAGCGAACAGG
This 429-nucleotide ribosomal RNA is filed under the name uncultured Lactobacillus sp. RNAcentral's name for it is "bacterial SSU rRNA". It matches the Rfam family "Bacterial small subunit ribosomal RNA", at positions 355 to 776 of the family's 1533-position model. The record is from RNAcentral. Lineage: Bacteria; Bacillati; Bacillota; Bacilli; Lactobacillales; Lactobacillaceae.